GGGCCACGGCGUCUCUCCUCUAAUGACACCUCAUCAAUCCGCUCCUAUCAAUGUCCCAGCCAUGGAGGUGACUUCGAGUGCUCAGAAGCCUUAGAAAAUGUCAACGUUUUGGGAGAAAAGGUGAGGAAAAAGAGACAAGAGUUUGGCAGCAAGUAACUUCCAGAGCUGGGAAUCAAGCUAAGGUCAGUGAAUGUAAUAUUAUCUAGAAAAACAAAACUCAUAGAUAAAGCAGCAUGAUAUAGUGGAAAGAGGUGGAAUCUGGCUUUGAAGACCUGAGUUAACAUCAAAGCUUGCUGACAUGGUGUAUCCUGAAAUGGAGAGAGUUAAAUGAAGAAUUUGAAAUCCUCCUAAGGCCAGAAACCUGCGCGUGCUUUGGAUGUAAGUAACAUUUGUCAAGCCUGAAUUUUAGAAAGUUUGUAUAACAUUUAAUUCAUUGUUUUAAUCCAAAGGAGAACAUCCUGUUUACUGAGCCCUCAGAGUUGUUGAAAUAUGAAUAUGAAAUAGGAAUCCUUUCAACAUCCCAGAUUGUUCCUAUUUUUAUUUUUAUGUCUGAGAGUAUGGAUGUUCAGAGACGUUAAGUAACAUACUCUAAAUAACAUAGGUAAAAAGUACCAGGGCCAGGAUUUAAACCUGGUUUUGAUCAUUUUAAGGCCCAUGGGAAGGCCUACCACUUGCUAUCAAGACACAUAAAGCACAGUGCCUAGAGUGAGCUAACAACCUAUUAUAGAUUCCACAUGCAUCCCAUUUUCUGAGGCUUGUUAAAUUGUCUGAGAAAGGGCAUUAUGAUCAGUUUUCUUCAGUAAAUUUCACCAGUUUGGCCAAAGCCACUGAGGCAAGGUGACCUGAACGGCAUGUUGGUUAAUGUAGAUUCAAACCUGGAUGGUUGUUUUAUUUCUUUGUGAUGCUUGCCUGAUCUGGAAAGAAAGCAUAUCCUGUUGACUGAAGGAGAUUGGAGGUCAAAAACAGAAUGAGGAAAAUGGGGAUAGAGAAUUAUUGGGGCUCCUAAGCGAUAUGAAUGGAAUGGAGAGAAUCUGACAAAAAACGUUCUAUGGGGGACUUUUCCCUUGAUUAAAUUAGAGCUAUUUGGAUAGCUAAUUGAAUGAUAGGGUCCAGGAGAAAAGAGCAGCAACCUUAUGAAACCUUUCUUCUUAUAUUUUUAAGUCGUUGGGCAGUUUUACAGCACACCACAUUAGGCGGGAGCAAAGUUUCUUUGCUCAUGGUGAGUUAGCCUCAGAAAUUUCUACACAUACAUCUUUUAAGGAAGAUGACUGUAUAUUUUGGUCAAAGCUAGUAAGGUCAUUGCUUUUGUAUGUUGCUUAAACCUUUCCUGAUAAUGCGCUAUGAACCUCCCUUCCUAUCCCCUGUAGUUGCAUGACUUCUGCUGAGAAUGGGUAGGGAUGCUCAGCCAGGCUGCUGGCUCCAUGCUACUUAGCUGUAACUUAAUAUUCCUAAGUGAAACUUGUUUUGGAGCUUAAGAACUCUGGGAGGUAUUGGUUGCUCCUUCACAUUUCCUGCCACAAACAUUUCCAACUCUCCUUGGAGCAUAAGAGGUGUGGGAGGGGAUGGUGAGGUCUGAGGCAGCCUGCUGUUUGGUGGGUCACAGUUUCCCCUCACCAGGGCUCCCUUUACUCCUUUUGAGUGUGCUGAUAUAGAAUGGGGAUGUGCUUGCAGCGGAAUUUAGUUGGAAGAGAAGGGCUCUGUGGGUCUGGAGUUCAGUCUUUCAGUCAUGGAGCUGGAGUGCCCUCUGCUGCUCUGGAGAGGAAGGUGCAUGAACAGCAUGGCUCUUGCCUGCACUUUGCUCCAGGUACAGGAAAAUCUCCAAAAUGCUCCCUUUGAAAACCAGUGCUCGGUUGAUCACUAAGCAUCUGGUUUCACUCAACUGUGGGGACUUUGGCUUUUUCAAGGAAAUCUCAUUGAGGCUGAGUAUGCAACCAGACCAGAGCCCACGUGGAAGGUAGCUUUCCUUCGGUCAAAAGGUGUGACAGCCAUUUCAGGAUAGGUAUUUGGCUUAUUUUUCAUGAGUGUCAGUGUCACCAUGAAAUAAGUGUUUAUUUUGUGUGUGAUCAAUCUUUUCAUAUAUAUCUGGGAUAACUGAAUAUUGUUAUUCCAGGUUUGGAGGUUUCUAUAUAUUUUCCUUUUGCAGUGUGUAAAAUCAAUGUUGAAAAAUGUUCUUUGUGGAAAAUGCAAGCAUUUUUAAAAAACAUUUCUUGCUUUACUUUUUAAUGUAUUUUAUCAUUCUGCAGUGGCAUAUUUUUAUAUAGUCUUAUAAUUUACAACCACUUUCUCAUAAUCUCAUUAAAACAUCCUGGUAAAUCUGAUAUAAGCUAUGUAGCUCCUACUUUAUAGACAGAAAAGCAAGUUUAAAGUCAUACCCAGUCAUAUAAGCGGUAUCAGAAGUGAGAACUGGGUCAGCUAAUGUGCUGAGCUCCAGGAAAAGGAUACCAGUGAAUAGUUAUUUAAUACUUAACCAUUUGUUAGCACCAUAAUAGUGUUUUUAAAUUAAUUAAUUAAUUAAUUAAUUUUUGUCUUUUUGUCUUUUUUUAGGGCUGCACCCGUGGCAUAUGGAGGUUCAUAAGCUAGGGGUCUAAUCGGAGCUGUUGCCGCUGGCCUAUGCCAGAGCCACAGGAACGCCAGAUCUGAGCAUAUCUGCAACCUAUACCACAGUUCAUGGCAAUGCCAGAUCCUUAACCCACUGAGCAUGGCCAUGGAUCAAACCUUCAACCUCAUGGUUCCUAGUCGGAUUCAUUUCCACUGUGCCAUGGCGGGAACUCCAACUGUGUUUUUUUUAAUUCAUUGCUUACUUAUUUUUUACAUCAACUCAAAAGGUAGACAUUAUUAUAGCUGUUAUUUUAAUAGAUAUUAAAAUAGAGGCUUUGAGAAGUUACUAAUAAAGAGUCAAACAGACAGUAAGUGGAAAAGCUUUGUUUCAAACCCUGCUCCAUCUGAUGCCAGAGGCCCUGAUGUAUGAACAAUAUUUAAUAUGAAGAGAAAUCCCUGGCCUCAAGCAAUUUAGAGUAGUUUUUUUUUUGAUGCGAUAAUAUAUUUAUGAUAUAUGACAUAAAAUUUACCAUUUUAACCACCUUUAGGUGUAAAGUUCAAUGUCAUUAAGUACAUUCAUGUUGACUGAAUGAUAGUCCAUUUUAUGACUAUACCAUAUUUUAUGUAUUCAUCCCUUGAUGGACGUUUGAAAUGUUUCCACCUUUUGCUUAUUGUGAAUAGUGCUGAUAUGAUAUAAAUACCUGUUUGAGUUACUGCUUUUGGUUAUUUUCAGUGUAUACCCAGAAGUAGGGCUGCUGAAUCAUAUAUUAAUUCUAUGUUUAAAUUUUUUUAAGGAACUACCCCUCUCUUUCUCACAGUGGCGGCACUAUUUAACAUUCCUACCAAUGGAGAACAGGGCUGGUUCAUUCGUUCGUUCUUUCUUUCUUGCUUUCAUAGCCUAAUGCAUGUGAGGUAUCUCAUUGGGGUUUUAUGUUUUAAAGUUUUAAAUUUUUUUUGCUUUUUUGGAGGGGCCAUACAUGCAGCAUAUGGAAAUUCCCAGGUUAGGUGUUGAAUGGGAGCUGCAGCUCAGGCCUGUGUCACAGCCGUAGCAACAGGGGGAUCUGAGCUGGGUUUGUGACCUACACCACAGCUCGUGGCAAUGCUGGGUCCUUAACCCACUCAACAAGGCCAGGCAUUGAACCCACAUCCUCAUGGAUGUUUCCACUGAACCACAAUGGGAACUCCCUCAUUGGGGUUUUAAUUUGCAUUUCCCUAAUUAUUAGUGAAGUAUAAUAUCUUUUCAUGUGCUUCUUGGCCAUCUAUAUAUCUCUUUGAGGAAAUGUCUACUAUUUCUUAACUGGGUUUUCUUUGGCUGUUGUUGAGUUGUAUUGAGUUCUUUAUAUAUUCUGGAUAUUAAUUCUUUAUCAGAUGUAUGAUUUGCAAUUGUUUUCUCUUUUACUCUAUGGCUCUUUACUCUGUUGAUAGUAUCCUUUGAUGCACAAAAUGUUUCAAACAUUUUGAUGAAGUCUAAUUUAUUUGUUUCCUCUUUCAUUGCCUCUGCUUUUGGUAUCAUAUCCAAGAAUUCAUUGCCAAACUCAAUGUCAGGAAGCUUUCCCCUGUAUUUUCUUCUAAGAAUUUUAUAGUUUUAGUCCUUACAUUUGGGUGUUUGAUCUAUUUUGAGUUAAUUUUUUGUAUAUUGUGAAACUAAGCAUCCAGCUUCAUUCUUUUGCAUGUAGAUAUUGUUUUCCUUAUAAUAUUUGUUGAAAAGGAUGUCUUUUCCCCAUUAAAUUGACUUGGCACACUUGCUGAAAAUCAUUUGGCCAUAUAUGUUAGGGUUUAUUUCUGAACUCUGUAUUCUGUUCAUUGGUGUGUGUGUUUGUCUUUAUGUCAGUACUACACUUUAUUAAUUACUAUAGCUUUGUUUGAAGUUUUGAAAUACAGAAGUGUGCAACCUCUAGUUUUGUUCAUUGUCAAGAUUGUUUUGACUAUCUGAAGUCCCUAGAAAGUCCAUGUGUUUUAGGUUGGGUUUUUCUAUUUUUGCCAAAAAAUGUCAUUGGGAUUCUGAUAGUGAUUGCAUUGAAUCUAUAGAUUUCUUUGAGUAAUAUUGACAUUUUAACAAUAUUGUCUUCUGAUUCAUGAAUGCAGACUGUAUUUUUAUUUAUAGAUGUCUUUUAAAUUUUUAUUCAGCAAUACUUUAUAUUUUUCAGUGUACAAGUCCUUGGUUAAGUUUAUUCCUAAAUAUUUUUUUUCUUUUAGAUGCUAUUGUAAAUGAGAUUUUCUUAAUUUUCUUUUUAGAUUGUUCAUUGUUAGUGUACAGAAAUGCAACUGAUUUUGCAUGCUGUUUUUGUAUCCUACUACCAGUUUGCCAUUUUAACUUGAGCCCAUAUCUUUUAACCAUGUCUCAUGUAUUUCCUACUCUUUCACAGUGGUCAACAUGUGAAAAUGACAAUUAAUUUCCAUUACACAGAAAUUUUGUUCUUAUGUCAAACUUUACCAAAAUUUGUCUGCCAUGAGUUUUUUUCAUGGAGUCCAAACAUUGUCAGCAAUUCAAUUAAUGAAAAAGAAAAUCAAUCUGAUUUUCCUUGUCUCUAUGUUAUGCCUACACUUAAUCUGAAUGACAAAGUUUUAACUUCCAGAUGCACAAAUUGGUUUGGUAUUAUAUUGACACAGCUACAGUUCUCAAAGUUGUUAUAAUCUGCACAAAGAAAACUAAAAACUAAAAUAUGCAUUUGUUUAUUUAUUCAACUUUCCAACUCAUGUUGACUUGGGUCAUAUAGUUUAUCCUAUUUGAUUGCCUAUUCAGCUAGAUAAAAAGCAUAGUACCAGUUUAAAAAAUAGACAAUUUAAUACAUUGGCCAACACCUGAUAAGAAUAACGCACACAAAUCUGUAAGCCAAUUUCACUUAUGAGUGUACAUGCCAAAAUUUGAAAUGCAGUUAUCAAAUUCUUAUUAUUUUAAAUAAAGACUAUACUACAUAUAGUAUAAUCUAGUAAUUUAAGUAUACAAUCUAUGAUCAUGAUUUAUCACAUCAUAUUGUAAGGAAAAAAAACUUGUGAAACCCUCUGAUAAAUGCAUGAAGCAUUUAUAAGUGCAACAUAUAUUCAUGAAUCAAAAUAUACUUUCAGUAAACCAUAGAUACUGUACCUCUUUUACACAACUACAAAUAAUGUACUUAAAACUAAAGCCAAUAUCUACUUAGUAGAAAAUUCAGAAGGUUGCUGCUUUCAUGUAUCAUAAUUCCAGAAGUUCUAAUCAAUGCAUAAUAAUAUUAGUACAUCUACUAAUAAGUGUAUUUAAAUAAAAGUAGAUAACCAUAACAUGUGUAAGCAAUAAUUUUGUUGACCUGGAAACCAAACUUAAUCAAUUGGAAAACUAUUAGAAAGUAAUAAUGGAGUUUUCAUUGUGACUCAGUGGGUUAAGACCCCAACAUAGAGUCUGUGAGGAUGAGGGUUCCAUCUGUGGCCUUGCUUGGUUGAGUUAAGUAUCUGGUAUUGUUGUAAGCUAUGAUAUAGGUUACAGAUAUGUCUCAGAUAUGGCAUUGCUGUGGCUGUGGUGUAGGCCUGCACUUGCAGCUCCAAUUCCACCCCUGGCCCAGGAACUUCCAUGUGCUACAGGUGUG
This 6098-nucleotide long non-coding RNA is filed under the name Sus scrofa (pig). RNAcentral describes it as "lncRNA (ENSSSCG00040003266.1)". The record is from RNAcentral. Lineage: Eukaryota; Metazoa; Chordata; Mammalia; Artiodactyla; Suidae.